UAAGAAAUGGAACAAAUAUUUAAAAAUGGAGGGAGUAUUUGUCAAUUUAAUUGUCUAAACUAUGUGUCCGUCAAACUGUAACAAAAAAAAAAACGGAGUGAGUACCACGGACCCAUCACCUUCUCGGCUUCUCUUGUUCUUCACCCUUAUUAAUUAAUUCAUUCAUCAUAAAAAUGCAACACUACUACUACACUACCCAUUAAUUGGGAUUUAUCCAGAUGAAUUUAUCCAAAAAUCCAAUCCAGUAUACUGCAUCUUAGAGACAUGGAAUUGCAGGUGCAGACAAAAGGGGUUGAUCUGCCAGAGAAGUAGUUUCCAACCAGAACUGGAGUAUUGAUGAUCAGUGGCAAUCCACGAAGAGGUGCAGAUGGCCUUGUUUUCUUUUAUGGAGAUCAUGGUAACCAUUUUGUUAACAAUGAUGGAUCAGAUCUGCUACUACCUACUUGUGAGAAGUAGAGAGAUCUCAGGCUUGGGUUUGAUACUUCGAUGAACUGUUUGGUUACUCUUCUUAACCUGGAAUAUAAUUGUAAGGUUUUGAUACAAGGAAUUGGAGGCGAAAACCAAAUUUGAAGAGCUAUUAAGAUUCCAACCAACUCAAUAUGAUGGAUCCAUUCGUAGCAUCUGGAUCAGAAAUGCCUGUAGGGAUUCCGGGACCUCUGAAUAUAGGUCCGUUUUCUGGAAACGCAAAGUAGCCCAACCUCUUUCGUGCUGCUUUCACAGCCCAAGAGAGAGCUCAGCAACGCUAUCAUCUAAAGUAUGACUUCCAUGGUCUGGUCUAAUGUGAUUCGGUCUGAUUCAAACAUUAAUAAGUAGCAAGCUCUUGAAAUAAGGUAAAUUUCUGGGAAAACUUUUGUAUACACCCGGUUUUCAGUAAUUUACUGUACAUCGGGUACACUUUUGUCA
Molecule: long non-coding RNA, 903 nt
Organism: Chenopodium quinoa (quinoa)
Lineage: Eukaryota; Viridiplantae; Streptophyta; Magnoliopsida; Caryophyllales; Amaranthaceae
Exons: 5
Source: RefSeq, a predicted model, not a curated record